AACUACGUGCCAGCAGCCGCGGUGACACGUAGGCUCCAAGCGUUGUCCGGAUUUAUUGGGCGUAAAGAGCUCGUAGGCGGUUUAGUAAGUCGGGUGUUAAAACUCUGGGCUCAACCCGGAGAGGCCAUCCGAUACUGCUGUGACUUGAGUUCAGGAGGGGAGCGGGGAAUUCCUAGUGUAGCGGUGAAAUGCGCAGAUAUUAGGAGGAACACCGGUGGCGAAGGCGCCGCUCUGGACUGAAACUGACGCUGAGGAGCGAAAGCAUGGGUAGCAAACAGGAUUAGAUACCCUGGUAGUCCAUGCCGUAAACGGUGGGCACUAGGUGUGGGUUCCAACUAACGGGAUCCGCGCCGUCGCUAACGCAUUAAAGUGCCCCCGCCUGGGGGAGUACCGGUCGCAAGACUAAAACUUCAAAGGAAUUGACGGGGGCCCCGCACAAGCCAGCGGAGCGUGUUGCUUAAUUCGAUGCUACGCGAAGAACCUUACCUGGGUUUGACAUGUUUGGAAAAGCCACAGAGAUGUGGUGGUCCGCAAGGGCCAAAC
RNAcentral lists this ribosomal RNA (543 nucleotides) under uncultured Actinomycetes bacterium. RNAcentral describes it as "bacterial SSU rRNA". It matches the Rfam family "Bacterial small subunit ribosomal RNA", at positions 499 to 1032 of the family's 1533-position model. The record is from RNAcentral. Lineage: Bacteria; Bacillati; Actinomycetota; Actinomycetes.